This 65-nucleotide transfer RNA is filed under the name Nanhaipotamon longhaiense. RNAcentral's name for it is "tRNA-Leu". Lineage: Eukaryota; Metazoa; Arthropoda; Malacostraca; Decapoda; Potamidae. The record is from RNAcentral.
AUUAUUUUGGCAGAUAAUAUGCAUUAAAUUUAGGAUUUAAUUAUAUAGUAGAUCUAUAAAUAAUA